UGGUUCUGGCAUCGAUGAAGAACGCAGCGAAAUGCGAUAAGUAAUGUGAAUUGCAGAAUUCAGUGAAUCAUCGAAUCUUUGAACGCACAUUGCGCCCGCCAGCAUUCUGGCGGGCAUGCCUGUUCGAGCGUCAUUUCAACCCUCAGGCUAGCCCUGGUGUUGGGGACCUGCACACUGCAGCCCCCGAAAGGCAGCGGCGGACCCGUCCGGCUCCGAGCGUAGUACUAUACGUCGCUCAGGACCCCAGGCGGGCUUCCAGCCGAUAAACCCCCUAUUUCUCAAGGUUGACCUCGGAUCAGGUAGGAAUACCCGCUGA
Molecule: unclassified non-coding RNA, 316 nt
Filed under: uncultured fungus
Lineage: Eukaryota; Fungi
Description: partial contains 5.8S ribosomal RNA and internal transcribed spacer 2
Rfam family: 5.8S ribosomal RNA (bases 1-133)
Source: RNAcentral